Long non-coding RNA from Rosa chinensis, 1514 nucleotides. RefSeq lists it as uncharacterized. The record is from RefSeq and is a predicted model, not a curated record. NCBI's taxonomy places the organism in Eukaryota, Viridiplantae, Streptophyta, Magnoliopsida, Rosales, Rosaceae. The transcript has 5 exons.
ACAAUCUCUCUCUCUUCCUCGGCCGCACACCUAAUUCUCUCCUCUCUCCUCUCCCCUUCUCUCUGCCAUCAUUUCCGGCCACCAAUUCAAAACAUGCCACCGCCAAUCUAUUUUGGACCCGAUUCCGAUCAAAACCCAAGAAGAUCACUACCAUCCACGCCGCCAGCCUCAUCACGCGACCAUCAAAGUCGCGACGGCGCUGCUCCCUAGCUCUCAUCAAGUUUCGGCCAUUUCCUCAACAUCAGCGUGCUCAGGGCAAGCCGGACAUCAAAAUCCAGAAGCCUCGCCGCAGGCCGUACCUCGAAGGACCCCGCACGUUCCAUCCCCGGAAUCCUAGACCCUGGGUUUCUCCGGUCUUCCUUCUCCAAAUCGAAUCGAGCUCCAAUACCUCCAAGAAUGGAGUCAGUGCCUCUCCUUUUAUCAAAACCAAGGGCCUGACUUCUGAUUUCAACCAAAGCCGCGGCCGGAUUAUCCUAUUCGUUCUGUUCUUUUGAUUGUUGUUCUUGAAUUUCGCACUUGGGAGGAAACAGGGGAAAUUGAAAUGUAAAGGGGAGCUUAUGGUCUUGAUUUCGAUUGAUUUUUAAAGGGAUGAUGAGGAACUAAGGAGGAUUGCAUGAAGUAGCAGAUCAUUAAGACUAUUGUCUCGGUAGAAAUGGUACAAGUAUCUGCAAAGGGAAUUGACAGAGAAGAAGAUGGGUAUUCCUAAUUCAGUAGCGAUCAAGCAGUUUCAAUUGACAAUGGAGGAAGUUGAUGAGCUACUGAAGAACACAUUUGAGGUUAGACCCUAUUUCUCUUUCACGUUUGCUCGAUCUGGGCUCUUAAAGUUUUGAACUUUUGUGAUAUGCAGCACCAGAUAAUGAAACCCUUUACUCUACUCAUUACAGUUUAAUCAUUUAGCUUUUCUUUUCUUUUGGAAAUUACUUACUGCUGAAUUUUAAAUCAGUUUUAUGGACUUGAUCUGGGUCUCUGAUGUAUUGCAUUUUGGGCUUUUCCUCAUAUUUUGGGUUGUUAGAUUGAUUAGCAUGAAGUUCAUCUUCUAUGUUUUGAAGAGACUUGCUGUAUUUAUGAAUUAAUACUCGAUCAAUUUUCUGGCACUCUUCCUUCUGACUUGGUUAUCUGGUCAACUUGCGGACCUUGCUUUGUAGGAAGUGCAAUGAAACAUUCAGAAGACUGGAGGGGAAAUAUCAGAAAUGCUCAAGCUUCAAUCAAAUGUUGUACGAGCACUUAAAUGCAGCUCAAGAUGUAAUUUCUACUUUCUGAAUUUAUAUGAAACGAUCAAAACCCUAGUAUUUUUUUUUCCAAAAGGUGUAGAAUCAAAUGACAUUAACUUUGAAGCAUGGAUGGUUGAAAUGAAAGGCAUAACCUAUCACAACAGCAAACAUGGUAAUCAGACUACAGUUAAAAACUAUAGUUUGAUUCAUUUGUUGGCCUAGAGCGGUCACGUUUCUGAAUUUAUUAUGUGUUUGACUCUAAACAAAACCCCCAAUUCCAAAUUUCGGUUGUUUAAGUUGUUU